RNAcentral lists this ribosomal RNA (429 nucleotides) under bacterium. Its description in RNAcentral is "partial 16S ribosomal RNA". It matches the Rfam family "Bacterial small subunit ribosomal RNA", at positions 355 to 776 of the family's 1533-position model. The record is from RNAcentral.
UAGGGAAUCUUCGGCAAUGGGGGCAACCCUGACCGAGCAACGCCGCGUGAGUGAAGAAGGUUUUCGGAUCGUAAAGCUCUGUUGUAAGAGAAGAACGUGUGUGAGAGUGGAAAGUUCACACAGUGACGGUAACUUACCAGAAAGGGACGGCUAACUACGUGCCAGCAGCCGCGGUAAUACGUAGGUCCCGAGCGUUGUCCGGAUUUAUUGGGCGUAAAGCGAGCGCAGGCGGUUUAAUAAGUCUGAAGUUAAAGGCAGUGGCUUAACCAUUGUUCGCUUUGGAAACUGGUUAACUUGAGUGCAGAAGGGGAAGGUGGAAUUCCAUGUGUAGCGGUGAAAUGCGUAGAUAUAUGGAGGAACACCGGUGGCGAAAGCGGCUCUCUGGUCUGUAACUGACGCUGAGGCUCGAAAGCGUGGGGAGCAAACAGG